GAUGAACGCUGGCGGCGUGCCUAAUACAUGCAAGUCGAGCGAACAGACGAGGAUCUUGCUCCUCUGACGUUAGCGGCGUACGGGUGAGUAACACGUGGAUCACCUACCUAUAAGACUGGGAUAACUUCGGGAACCCGGAGCUAAUACCGGAUAAUAUCUUUAACCGCAUGGUUCAAUAGUGAAAGACGGUUUUGCUGUCACUUAUAGAUGGAUCCGCGCCGCAUUAGCUAGUUGGUAAGGUAACGGCUUACCAAGGCAACGAUGCGUAUCCGACCUGAGAGGGGGAUCGGCCACAAUGGAAAUGAGACACGGUCCAGACUACUACGGGAGGCAGCAGUAGGGAAUCUUCCGCAAUGGGCGAAAGACUGACGGAGCAACGCCGCGUGAGUGAUGAAGGUCUUCGGAUCGUAAAACUCUGUUAUUAGGAAAGAACAAAUGUGUAAGUAACUAUGCACGUCUUGACGGUACCUAAACAGAAAGCCACGGCUAACUACGUG
Molecule: ribosomal RNA, 497 nt
Filed under: uncultured bacterium
Lineage: Bacteria
Description: partial 16S ribosomal RNA
Rfam family: Bacterial small subunit ribosomal RNA
Source: RNAcentral